This 487-nucleotide long non-coding RNA is filed under the name Homo sapiens (human). Its description in RNAcentral is "non-protein coding NEAT1:9". The stretch from base 387 to 487 matches the Rfam family "Nuclear enriched abundant transcript 1 conserved region 1", at positions 1 to 98 of the family's 122-position model. Lineage: Eukaryota; Metazoa; Chordata; Mammalia; Primates; Hominidae. The record is from RNAcentral.
AGUUAGCGACAGGGAGGGAUGCGCGCCUGGGUGUAGUUGUGGGGGAGGAAGUGGCUAGCUCAGGGCUUCAGGGGACAGACAGGGAGAGAUGACUGAGUUAGAUGAGACGAGGGGGCGGGCUGGGGGUGCGAGAAGGAAGCUUGGCAAGGAGACUAGGUCUAGGGGGACCACAGUGGGGCAGGCUGCAUGGAAAAUAUCCGCAGGGUCCCCCAGGCAGAACAGCCACGCUCCAGGCCAGGCUGUCCCUACUGCCUGGUGGAGGGGGAACUUGACCUCUGGGAGGGCGCCGCUCUUGCAUAGCUGAGCGAGCCCGGGUGCGCUGGUCUGUGUGGAAGGAGGAAGGCAGGGAGAGGUAGAAGGGGUGGAGGAGUCAGGAGGAAUAGGCCGCAGCAGCCCUGGAAAUGAUCAGGAAGACCAAGGGCUGUGAACCCGCCUGGGGAUGAGGCCUGGUCUUGUGGAACUGAACUUAGCUCGACGGGGCUGACCG